GGUAGCGAUCGCUUGGCCUUAAAGCUUCAAAAAUGUCUGCAGUCAAAAUACAAUGUUUACAGGGACACCAUAACUCAUGCAAGGAACGCAGGUUAUUACAGCAGUUGUACCAAUCUUCACUUCAUUCCUCUGUAAAUCCAAUCCCACCGCAGUUCAUGGGGACUCAAUGCAAUGAACAGUAACUCAAUUUAAACUCUACCUGAAUUUCUGCACAAUAAACUGUUAUGUAAAUAGAACUCAAAAUAGC
Non-coding RNA from Pelobates cultripes (western spadefoot toad), 247 nucleotides. The record is from the annotation of a GenBank genome assembly. Lineage: Eukaryota; Metazoa; Chordata; Amphibia; Anura; Pelobatidae.